UUGACCUCGGAUCAGGUAGGAAUACCCGCUGAACUUAAGCAUAUCAAUAAGC
Molecule: ribosomal RNA, 52 nt
Filed under: Fusarium culmorum
Lineage: Eukaryota; Fungi; Ascomycota; Sordariomycetes; Hypocreales; Nectriaceae
Also listed under: 18 other names
Description: partial 28S ribosomal RNA
Source: RNAcentral